GGAGAGAUGACCGAGUUGGCCGAAGGUGCACGACUGGAAAUCGUGUGUACCGAAAGGUACCUGGAGUUCGAAUCUCCAUCUCUCCG
RNAcentral lists this transfer RNA (86 nucleotides) under Pseudomonadota bacterium. RNAcentral describes it as "Proteobacteria bacterium tRNA-Ser". It matches the Rfam family "tRNA". Rfam says of the family: Transfer RNA (tRNA) molecules are approximately 80 nucleotides in length. Their secondary structure includes four short double-helical elements and three loops (D, anti-codon, and T loops). RNAcentral also lists the same sequence under 1 other name. Lineage: Bacteria; Pseudomonadati; Pseudomonadota. The record is from RNAcentral.